CAGUAGCCGCGGUAACACCGAGGGUGCGAGCGUUAAUCGGAUUUACUGGGCGUAAAGCGUGCGUAGGCGGCUUUUUAAGUCGGAUGUGAAAUCCCUGAGCUUAACUUAGGAAUUGCAUUCGAUACUGGGAAGCUAGAGUAUGGGAGAGGAUGGUAGAAUUCCAGGUGUAGCGGUGAAAUGCGUAGAGAUCUGGAGGAAUACCGAUGGCGAAGGCAGCCAUCUGGCCUAAUACUGACGCUGAGGUACGAAAGCAUGGGGAGCAAACAGGAUUAGAUACCCCUGUAGUCCCUGUCUCUUAUAC
RNAcentral lists this ribosomal RNA (301 nucleotides) under uncultured bacterium. RNAcentral's name for it is "partial 16S ribosomal RNA". It matches the Rfam family "Bacterial small subunit ribosomal RNA", at positions 509 to 807 of the family's 1533-position model. The record is from RNAcentral.